This 742-nucleotide long non-coding RNA is filed under the name Pan troglodytes (chimpanzee). RNAcentral describes it as "long non-coding RNA NONPTRT016654". The stretch from base 482 to 628 matches the Rfam family "Metazoan signal recognition particle RNA". The record is from RNAcentral. Lineage: Eukaryota; Metazoa; Chordata; Mammalia; Primates; Hominidae.
GGUUAACAUUUAUUAAGCUCUUUUUAUGUACAGGCACUAUUGUAGCCAUUUAAAACGUAUCCACUCACUUACUACUCAUCAGUGAAAUGAGGUGCACAUACUUUAUCUCCAUUUGCAGAUGAGGAAACUGAGGUCACACAUCCAAAUUGCUGACUGGGAUUCAAAGUCAGGAAGUCAAAGCCUGUGAUCUGAUCUUAGAACCCUUUCCUGUCCCAGAGCUAAAAAAUAAUUAUAAUAGAAGAUCCCAUGGUGGUUGGACAUCAGAAAUAUAGAUUUCUAAUGCAGAUUCGUUGUAAUGCCAACGAGGUUCCUUCCUAAUUUAGAAGGCUUAACAAGUACAGGACGGACAUGGUGGCUCAUGCCUAUAAUCUCAGCAAUUAGGGAGGAUUGCUUGAGACCAGGAGUUCAAGACCAACCUGGGCAACACAGUGAGACCCUGUCUCUAAAAAAAGAAAAUAAAUAAAUAAAAAAUAAAAUAUUAACUGGGUGUGUUGGUGCGUGCCUGUAGUCCCAGCUACUCAGGAGGUUGAGGCAGGAGGAUCACUUGAGCCCAGGAGUUCAAGGCUGCAGUGAGCUAUGAUUGUGCCACUGCACUCCAGCCUGGGCAACAGAGCAAGACCUGUUUCAAAACAAGUGGCCCCAAGUGUUCAUGCCACUUCCCACCUCCCUCAGGCUCCUGAAGCACUGACAGAGUAAUAAAAACUUCUGUCAACCAGCCUUUCAGCUGAAGAUCUGAGUGGAC